GGCGAACGGGUGCGUAAUGCAUGGGAAUCUGCCUAGUAGUGGGGAAUAACCCGGCGAAAGCCGGGCUAAUGCCGCAUACGACCUACGGGUGAAAGCGGGGGAUCGCAAGACCUCGCGCUAUUAGAUGAGCCCAUGUCGGAUUAGCUAGUUGGUAGGGUAACGGCCUACCAAGGCGACGAUCCGUAGCUGGUCUGAGAGGACGGCCAGCCACACUGGGACUGAGACACGGCCCAGACUCCUACGGGAGGCAGCAGUGGGGAAUUUUGGACAAUGGGGGCAACCCUGAUCCAGCGACGCCGCGUGUGUGAAGAAGGCCUGCGGGUUGUAAAGCACUUUCGUUGGGAACGAAAUAUGCCGACCUAAUACGUCGGUAGGCUGACGUUACCCAAAUAAGAAGCACCGGCUAACUCUGUGCCAGCAGCCGCGGUAAUACAGAGGGUGCGAGCGUUAAUCGGAAUUACUGGGCGUAAAGCGCACGUAGGCGGCUAUGUAAGUCAGAUGUGAAAUCCCCGGGCUCAACCUGGGAACUGCAUUUGAGACUGCAUAGCUAGAGUAU
This 556-nucleotide ribosomal RNA is filed under the name uncultured beta proteobacterium. RNAcentral's name for it is "bacterial SSU rRNA". It matches the Rfam family "Bacterial small subunit ribosomal RNA", at positions 97 to 649 of the family's 1533-position model. The record is from RNAcentral. Lineage: Bacteria; Pseudomonadati; Pseudomonadota; Betaproteobacteria.